Erinaceus europaeus (western European hedgehog) is the source of this 131-nucleotide ribosomal RNA. Lineage: Eukaryota; Metazoa; Chordata; Mammalia; Eulipotyphla; Erinaceidae. The record is from Ensembl.
CUCUACAACCAUACCACCAUGAAUGUGCCUGAUCUGGUCUGACCUCAGAAGCUAAACAGGGUCAGGCCUGAUUAGAUGAUUUGCAGGUAUCUGAUUCCUUAAAGAUUUGGCCACCAAUGUCCUGGUUGAGG